GACGAACGCUGGCGGCGUGCCUAAUACAUGCAAGUUGAGCGAUGAAGAUUGGUGCUUGCACCAAUUUGAAGAGCAGCGAACGGAUGAGUAACGCGUGGGGAAUCUGCCUUUGAGCGGGGGACAACAUUUGGAAACGAAUGCUAAUACCGCAUAACAACUUUAAACAUAAGUUUUAAGUUUGAAAGAUGCAAUUGCAUCACUCAAAGAUGAUCCCGCGUUGUAUUAGCUAGUUGGUGAGGUAAAGGCUCACCAAGGCGAUGUUACAUAGCCGACCUGAGAGGGUGAUCGGCCACAUUGGGACUGAGACACGGCCCAAACUCCUACGGGAGGCAGCAGUAGGGAAUCUUCGGCAAUGGACGAAAGUCUGACCGAGCAACGCCGCGUGAGUGAAGAAGGGUUUCGGAUCGUAAAACUCUGUUGGUAGAGAAGAACGUUGGUGAGAGUGGAAAGCUCAUCAAGUGACGGUAACUACCCAGAAAGGGACGGCUAACUACGUG
This 497-nucleotide ribosomal RNA is filed under the name uncultured bacterium. Its description in RNAcentral is "partial 16S ribosomal RNA". It matches the Rfam family "Bacterial small subunit ribosomal RNA", at positions 28 to 507 of the family's 1533-position model. The record is from RNAcentral.